RNAcentral lists this non-coding RNA (250 nucleotides) under Diaphorina citri (Asian citrus psyllid). RNAcentral describes it as "Eukaryotic small subunit ribosomal RNA". It matches the Rfam family "Eukaryotic small subunit ribosomal RNA", at positions 1113 to 1362 of the family's 1831-position model. Lineage: Eukaryota; Metazoa; Arthropoda; Insecta; Hemiptera; Psyllidae. The record is from Rfam by way of RNAcentral.
UCCAGGGGAAGUAUGGUUGCAAAGCUGAAACUUAAAGGAAUUGACGGAAGGACACCACCAGGAGUGGAGCCUGCGGCUUAAUUUGACUCAACACGGGAAAUCUCACCAGGCCCGGACACCGGAGGGAUUGACAGAUUGAGAGCUCUUUCUUGAUUCGGUGGGUGGUGGUGCAUGGCCGUUCUUAGUUGGUGGAGCGAUUUGUCUGGUUAAUUCCGAUAACGAACGAGACUCUUUCCUGCUAACUAGUUGA